RNAcentral lists this ribosomal RNA (440 nucleotides) under uncultured bacterium. RNAcentral's name for it is "partial 16S ribosomal RNA". It matches the Rfam family "Bacterial small subunit ribosomal RNA", at positions 338 to 795 of the family's 1533-position model. The record is from RNAcentral.
CCUACGGGUGGCAGCAGUGGGGGAUAUUGCACAAUGGGGGGAACCCUGAUGCAGCGACGCCGCGUGGGUGAAGGAGCGUUUCGGCGCGUAAAGCCCUAUUGGUAGGGAAGAAGAUGACGGUACCUGACCAAUAAGCCCCGGCUAACUACGUGCCAGCAGCCGCGGUAAUACGGAGGGGGCAAGCGUUAUCCGGAUUUACUGGGCGUAAAGGGGGCGCAGAAGGGGAUGCAAGCCAGGAGUGAAAGCCUGGGGCCCAACCCCGGGACUGCACUUGGAACUGGAUGGCUGGAGUACAGGAGAGGCAGGCGGAAUUCCUGGUGUAGCGGUGAAAUGCGUAGAUAUUAGGAGGAACACCGAUGGCGAAGGCGGCCUGCUGGACUGUGACUGACGUUGAGGCCCGAAAGCGUGGGGAGCAAACAGGAUUAGAUACCCUGGUAGUC